Molecule: ribosomal RNA, 253 nt
Filed under: uncultured bacterium
Lineage: Bacteria
Description: partial 16S ribosomal RNA
Rfam family: Bacterial small subunit ribosomal RNA
Source: RNAcentral
UACAGAGGUGUCAAACGUUGUCCGGAAUUACUGGGCGUAAAGGGCGCGUAGGCGGCCUUAUAAGUCAGAUGUGAAAGCUCCGGGCUCAACCCGGAAAUUGCUCCGCAUACUGGCUAGCUUGAGUGAUGCAGAGGUAAGUGGAAUUCCUGGUGUAGCGGUGAAAUGCGUUGAUAUCAGGAGGAACACCCAUGGCGAAGGCAGCUUACUGGGCAUCAACUGACGCUGAGGCGCGAAAGCGUGGGUAGCAAACAGG